Molecule: ribosomal RNA, 635 nt
Filed under: uncultured Marinobacter sp.
Lineage: Bacteria; Pseudomonadati; Pseudomonadota; Gammaproteobacteria; Pseudomonadales; Marinobacteraceae
Description: bacterial SSU rRNA
Rfam family: Bacterial small subunit ribosomal RNA
Source: RNAcentral
CGCCUGGGGAGUACGGCCGCAAGGUUAAAACUCAAAUGAAUUGACGGGGGCCCGCACAAGCGGUGGAGCAUGUGGUUUAAUUCGACGCAACGCGAAGAACCUUACCUGGCCUUGACAUCCAGAGAACUUUCCAGAGAUGGAUUGGUGCCUUCGGGAACUCUGAGACAGGUGCUGCAUGGCCGUCGUCAGCUCGUGUCGUGAGAUGUUGGGUUAAGUCCCGUAACGAGCGCAACCCCUAUCCCUGGUUGCUAGCAGGUAAUGCUGAGAACUCCAGGGAGACUGCCGGUGACAAACCGGAGGAAGGUGGGGAUGACGUCAGGUCAUCAUGGCCCUUACGGCCAGGGCUACACACGUGCUACAAUGGCGCGUACAGAGGGCUGCCAACUCACGAGAGUGAGCCAAUCCCUUAAAACGCGUCGUAGUCCGGAUCGGAGUCUGCAACUCGACUCCGUGAAGUCGGAAUCGCUAGUAAUCGCGAAUCAGAAUGUCGCGGUGAAUACGUUCCCGGGCCUUGUACACACCGCCCGUCACACCAUGGGAGUGGAUUGCACCAGAAGUAGUUAGUCUAACCUUCGGGAGGACGAUUACCACGGUGUGGUUCAUGACUGGGGUGAAGUCGUAACAAGGUAACCGUA